GACGAACGCUGGCGGCGUGCUUAACACAUGCAAGUCGAACGGAAAGGCCCUGCUUUUGUGGGGUGCUCGAGUGGCGAACGGGUGAGUAACACGUGAGUAACCUGCCCUUGACUUUGGGAUAACUUCAGGAAACUGGGGCUAAUACCGGAUAGGAGCUCCUGCUGCAUGGUGGGGGUUGGAAAGUUUCGGCGGUUGGGGAUGGACUCGCGGCUUAUCAGCUUGUUGGUGGGGUAGUGGCUUACCAAGGCUUUGACGGGUAGCCGGCCUGAGAGGGUGACCGGCGACAUUGGGACUGAGAUACGGCCCAGGCUCCUACGGGAGGCAUCAGUGGGGAAAAUUGCACAAUGGGCGGGAGCCUGAUGCAACAAGGCCGCGUGCGGGAUGACGGCCUUCGAGUUGUAAACCGCUUUCGCCUGUGACGAAGCGUGAGUGACGGUAAUGGGUAAAGAAGCACCGGCUAACUACGUG
Molecule: ribosomal RNA, 468 nt
Filed under: uncultured bacterium
Lineage: Bacteria
Description: partial 16S ribosomal RNA
Rfam family: Bacterial small subunit ribosomal RNA
Source: RNAcentral